UGUAGAUAAUACACAGCGAGUAGCAGCAGAGUACAUGUAGGUGGGGGUGAAGUGACUAUGUGUAGAUAAUAAACAGAGAGUAGCAGCAGUGUACAAAAACAAAUGGAGUGGAGGGGGGGGGGUCAAAGUAAAUAGUUUGGUGGCCAUGUGAUUAAUUGUUCAGCAGACUUAUGGCUCGGGGGUAGAAGCUGUUAAGGAGCCUUUUGGUCCUUAGACUUGUAGUCUACAUGUGACGGUUCACCUGACAAUUUGUGAUUCGCUCUUUCAGCAAUAUUUGAUUCAUAACUUCCUCAGUGGGGUGUGAUAACAUCACGUGUCGUGAGAGUCUCCUUAACCCCGGCUGAGUUGAGAUGGAAGUGAGUCGGACCAGUCUCUCUAGGGAGAAGCCAGAGGAGUAUCAGCGAAGGAUCAUGGGAGAUAGAGUCCAAAUCGAGGCAUGCUACAGAAAUGAACUGGUCAGAGCUGCACAGAGCACUGCUGUUUUCCAGAAACCUACAGUGGUGCGGACCAAUGAGGUGGAGGAGAGGGAGCGCUACAGAUACCAGUGGAGGAAGGAGGACAGGCAGAGAAUCGUCGGUGACAGAUUGGAGCUCUUCGUCGCCAUAGGGACGGGGUUGUUGAUGGGGGUUCUGACAGGUGGUUUUGGAGGUGUUGUCAUGGGAGGGUUGACAGGGGCAGUGAUAUGGUUUACAACAGGACUGGUUAGGAACUGGUGGAGCCCCUGAUUCACUGGGAGACACCAUGUGUAGGCUAUGGAUCUACUUUUAUAAAGACAUUUGGAGGAUAAAACAAUUUGAACAUGUAUAGAUAGAAGGGCUUAAGUCUUGGUCUUGUUUCUUGAUGCAUUUAUCCAACUUUAAUUAUGAAUAAUUUGGAACUGAAUAAAAGCCCAAUAAAGAGAUAAGAAACAGAGAAUAUAUUGAUUAUUUUUAAAGAGAGAUGAAACCCUCAUAUUCAUCACCAGUGUUAACCUACAGUACUUCUGUGAAGUCAGUCCUGAUAUGGGUCUGAACCUGUUACUCAUGAACAAAUUAAAACAGAGAUUCUUCCAGAAAUAUCGUUCCCUGAUUUCAUCUGACCAAGUAUUCAGAUAUUGUGUGACAGUAGUUAUGGCCAGGCCAAUGAAAGACCUUCAUCCUACCCUGUAAAAUCCUUACAAAUAACAGCAACAAGAGCUAGUGACUCGAUCACCAAAUAUACAUGAUCAAUGAAUAGUUUACGUAAACAAACAUAGGGAUCCUACUAGAACCCCGAUCCAGCGACUGUCAACCCAACACAGUUUGGCCAAGAUCACAGUCUGUAUCCAGAAAGGACCUCAGAGUAGGAGUACUGAUCUAGGAUCUGUCCAUAUAAUCAUUAUGAUCGAAACGUCAAAAACUGAUGCUAGAUCAGAACUCUUACGAGCCCUGGUCAUCAUGGAAUCAUGGAAUCAGUAAACCCUGCUCUCAGUCUGUCAUGUAAUCAGUAAACCCUGCUCUCAGUCUGUCAUGGAAUCAGUAAACCCUGCUCUCAUAUCUGUCAUGGUAUCAGUAAACCCUGCUAUCAAUUUGUCAUGGAAUCAGUAAACCCUGCUCCCAUUACUGUCAUGGAAUCAGUAAACCCUGCUCUCAUAUCUGUCAUGGAAUCAGUAAACCCUGCUAUCAAUCUGUCAUGGAAACAGUAAACCCUGCUCUCACUACUGUCAUGGAAUCAGUAAACCCUGCUCUCAAUCUGUCAUAUAGUCAGUAAACCCUGCUCUCAUUACUGUCAUGUAAUCAGUAAACCCUGCUCUCAAUCUGUCAUGGAAUCAGUAAACCCUGCUCUCAUUACUGUCAUGGAAUCAGUAAACCCUGCUCUCAUUACUGUCAUGGAAUCAGUAAACCCUGCUCUCAUUACUGUCAUGGAAUCAGUAAACCCUGCUCUCAAUCUGUCAUGGAAUCAGUAAACCCUGCUCUCAUUACUGUCAUGGCAGAAUGCUCAAAUCACCCCUACUCAUCGGCCAGUGUGGCGUGCUGAAUGCUCCGAGGGCGUAACACUCUGAAUUUAUGAAGGGACAAUCUGACAACACUCUGAGUUUAUGAAGGGACAAUCUGACAACACUGAGUUUAUGAAGGGACAAUCUGACAACGCUCUGAGUUUAUGAAGGGACAAUCUGACAACACUCUGAGUUUAGGAACACCCAGAAAACACUGGCACUCCAGAUUAAAUUUACGAACACAACCGUAGUUUAAACCAGUCUUUAGUCUUGAAAUCUUUGUUUGUUUAGUACAUGGCCUCACAAGUGAAUCCUUAAAGAGAUGGGUGGGGCUAAAGUUUAAUAGUUGUUGUUUUUUAAGUUGUAAAAUUCAAACUAGGUAAAUGAGUAGGUUCUAAUCUGUUUGGAGAAGGGGAUUGUAAAUACAAACAGAUUGUUUUAGAUGAUUUUUACUUUUGCAUGCUGGAGACAAUUGUGAAACCAGUCAUGGAAGCAAACUGAAAACUCAAGGCUACCAA
This is a long non-coding RNA of Oncorhynchus mykiss (rainbow trout), 2472 nucleotides long. The record is from Ensembl. Lineage: Eukaryota; Metazoa; Chordata; Actinopteri; Salmoniformes; Salmonidae.